UUUCUGUGUUCGCAGAACGCCUUGUCUGUGCGGUGAAACCGGACCGCCCCGCCCCGCGGUCUGGGGCGACGCGACCGUGUCUCUGUUGCCAGGAUCAGACCUUUGACAGGACUGCAGGAAGAGGACGCAGCGCAAACACAAUGCUGGGUCUCGGGGUGCGGCCGCAGCGCGCCUGAGAGCGCCGGGGUAGCGGGACCGGUGCUUUCGGAACCGUCACGACCACCGGGACCAUCGGGACCAUGGGCUGCACGCCGAGCGCCGACAUCAAGAAGCGAAACGCCCCGGCGGAGGCCCCUACGGAGCCCACAGACAGACCCACGACACCGUUCUCCACCGAAGUGGUCCAGGACCUGACAGCCAUCAACGGAGGAUGAAGGAACAUUCAAAUGACGGAGAAGCUCAUUAAGGUCUCUUGUGGUGCAGAUAAAGGUGAAAUGGAGGAGCCAGAGGUCCUGGCAGAGCUGGAGGUGCAGCGCAUACAAAGGAGCGCAGCAGGAGGUCACGGGGUGCAGGAAAGGCCAGCGGACCACCUGAAUGACCAAGGUGAGCAUGAGCCAGAGGAGAGUCUCACAGGUCAGGUUGAUGCAUCCUCCUUUCUUCUCAACACCAGCACAUUCGUCAUCACAGCUAGACAGGUUCCACCAGGCACGGUCCUCGGACCCACUGCAGAUUUGACUGGUUUUGUCACUGUGCCGUCUUCCAUUUCAGGUUCAGACUCCAAGCACAUCGUUGAAAGAGAGUUUUAGCACCGCCCAGUGCCCUCGCUCUGCUGCUCAUCUGAACGUGCAGCAAAGAACAAAAACGCAACGUCCACCCAGAAGUACAGAGGACACUUGACACUGACAUUUCUGUGAAAGUACUGUGGGAAUUGGACUGACAGUAUGGAACAUGCUGCAAUUAUUCACAUGGUCCCUGUAGUUCUGACAUGUGGAGUCACUGCUGCUCUUCUCAACUUCUCAAGCACACAAAGGACGAUCAGAGUCGUGCAGACCUUAACAGGAACAUGUUCAGAUAGGAACCAGUCUGGGAACUUCAGCUUGUUGCUUUGCUAUGUGGGCUCCUCUCGUAGGGAGUGUUCAGAACCGUAAAAUGUCAAGC
This 1098-nucleotide long non-coding RNA is filed under the name Scleropages formosus (Asian bonytongue). RNAcentral's name for it is "lncRNA (ENSSFOG00015029891.1)". Lineage: Eukaryota; Metazoa; Chordata; Actinopteri; Osteoglossiformes; Osteoglossidae. The record is from RNAcentral.